AUGACUGCGGGCUGGGAUGGGCCGGGCUGGGGGUCACUGGUGCUAACUGGUGCUAACUGCAAGCCUCAGAAAUCCUUUCGGAGGAGGUCACAGAGCAGCGCUGGGUCUGGGCAGCGGGCUGCCCCCCCCCGGGACCCGCACUCCUCCUCUCCCACCGGUAACAGGCAAAAAAAAUCCCCCCAUCCAGCCGAGCUCCGGGGACAGCCCCGUCCAGCCGGGCUCCCAGCAGAGGAGGCUUCUGUUAUCCUCAGGGAAGCGCUAAGGAAAGAUGGGACCCGGGGGGGGGGGUUUUGGGGUGCGGGGGCAGCCAGGAGCCCCACGGCCCCGGGAGCCCUCGAGCGGUGCCGCUGCAGCCGCCGCGCGGUGCCGGUUCCUGCGCCCCCUGCCCGUGCCCCCAGGGUUCAGAGCCACGCAGCCCGGGGUGAUCUGCGCCCCCCCACCCCGUGUGCUCGUUCCCCGGGGGGGCGCGGGUCGGAGGGACAUUUUUCUAUGCACUCAAGCCACGGUCCCCUCAGCCCCCGUCUGCUCCCGUGUUGGGGUCAGGGCAGCGGCUGCAGGAGCCAGGGCUGGCUGCGGCACGUGGGGCUGGGCCCCCUCCCCACAAACAGCUCCCCCCUGCCCUGCUCGCAGCCCCCAUGCCCCGAGCCAACGGGGCUGAACAGACAACGCCGGGAGGGGGCUGCUGGUGGUGGUGCCAGGCCAUCAGCACCCCCUGGCAAGGGGGCACCAAGGGGGCUCGACCCGGGGCUGAGCUGGGCCCUGUGGGGUGGGGGCAGCUCCGGGGCUGCUCCGGCUCCCUUUGGGGAAGGGGGGUCCUGGUCCCGGGGGGGGGGGCAGCGUGGGGCAGGCAGCGGGGCCGCCCCGGGUUCAGGGAAUGGGGAGGGGGACGUGGUUCGGACCGGGGCUGAGCUCUGCUGCUCUUGGCCGGGGCUGUUUUCUCCCCGGAGGGGGCCGCUGGGGGCUGCGUCCCUGCGGGUCUCAGCCACGUCCCCACGGUGCUCGGGAGCCCGGCUGCCACGUACUGUAAAUACUCUGUGUGCCACCUUCCUCUCCGGGACCCUCGGCGCGGGCAGGGGCAGGGGGGGGGUGAGCAGGAGACCGGGGUCUGACCGAGACUUUUUUGUAUACCACAAACUUUUUGUAUAUUUUUAA
Molecule: long non-coding RNA, 1152 nt
Filed under: Cairina moschata (Muscovy duck)
Lineage: Eukaryota; Metazoa; Chordata; Aves; Anseriformes; Anatidae
Description: domestica (muscovy Duck (domestic type)) lncRNA (ENSCMMG00000012121.1)
Source: RNAcentral